This 857-nucleotide ribosomal RNA is filed under the name uncultured bacterium. RNAcentral describes it as "bacterial SSU rRNA". It matches the Rfam family "Bacterial small subunit ribosomal RNA", at positions 7 to 869 of the family's 1533-position model. The record is from RNAcentral.
GAUAGUUUGAUCCUGGCUCAGGAUGAACGCUAGCGGCAGGCUUAACACAUGCAAGUCGAGGGGUAGAGGAAGCUUGCUUCCUUGAGACCGGCGCACGGGUGCGUAACGCGUAUGCAACCUACCUUUUACAGAGGGAUAGCCCAGAGAAAUUUGGAUUAAUACCUCAUGGUAUAUAUCAUUCGCAUGUUUGAUAUAUUAAAGUUCCAACGGUAAAAGAUGGGCAUGCGUCCUAUUAGCUAGAUGGUAAGGUAACGGCUUACCAUGGCAACGAUAGGUAGGGGUCCUGAGAGGGAGAUCCCCCACACUGGUACUGAGACACGGACCAGACUCCUACGGGAGCAGCAGUGAGGAAUAUUGGACAAUGGGCGCAAGCCUGAUCCAGCCGUGCCGCGUGCAGGAAGAAGCAUCUAUGGUGUGUAAACUGCUUUUGUACGGGAAGAAACACUCCUUCGUGAAGGAGCUUGACGGUACCGUAAGAAUAAGGAUCGGCUAACUCCGUGCCAGCAGCCGCGGUAAUACGGAGGAUCCAAGCGUUAUCCGGAAUCAUUGGGUUUAAAGGGUCCGUAGGCGGUUUGGUAAGUCAGUGGUGAAAGCCCGCAGCUCAACUGUGGAACGGCCAUUGAUACUGCCAGACUUGAAUUACAAGGAAGUAACUAGAAUAUGUAGUGUAGCGGUGAAAUGCUUAGAUAUUACAUGGAAUACCAAUUGCGAAGGCAGGUUACUACUUGUGGAUUGACGCUGAUGGACGAAAGCGUGGGGAGCGAACAGGAUUAGAUACCCUGGUAGUCCACGCCGUAAACGAUGGAUACUAGCUGUUGGGGGCAACUUCAGUGGCUAAGCGAAAGUGAUAAGUUCCC